Non-coding RNA from Nicotiana tabacum (common tobacco), 978 nucleotides. The record is from RefSeq and is a predicted model, not a curated record. Lineage: Eukaryota; Viridiplantae; Streptophyta; Magnoliopsida; Solanales; Solanaceae.
UUUAGCCAUUUUUGGACUUUCCCUAACCUAGAGACCCUCCAAAACACAAAAGUUUGUCAUCUCUAACCUUCAGAAGAUCAGCCGCAAAAAACCAAAGAAAGCCCCCCCCCCCUGAACGUCUUCAACAGAGAAGCAACUCCGCCUGCAUCCCUAUCUCCGAAGUCACACACACUAGAAGAGAAAAAGGCUGGACCUUCUUCUUCUUUCGAUUUUCAGCAGCGGCUGCUGCUUCUUCACUUCACACCACCAAAUGUCAGCCACCAACCGUCAUCGCGACCCCACCCUCUCACCACCAAGCAGUGUCUCCACAUGCAAUCGAGACAUCUUCCUCUCGAAUUCAAACAUAGAGAUCCACUAGCCCGUCAUCCCUAUUUCUAUCUAUCUCCUGCACAAAAUCCAUUGAAACCCACUGUAAUACUAUUGUCCCCGUAAUCAGUGGUCGAGCCUAUCGGAAACUUUAAGCAAUUGGUUUCUAUCCCUUGCAUCAUCUUUCAUUAUCGGUGAAUCUCUAUUGUAUGCCAUUUUCAACCCAUCAAGUUAGUGUUUAGUGAGAUUUUUUGGCGAAAAUCCUGUCCGAGGUUCCGGUGCUCGUGUUUCAAAGUUGCCGUAGAAUUAAGCUUCAGAUUCAUUGAGGUAUUUUCACAACCCCUGAAAUGACAAGUUUAAGUGCUAACAGUGUUUAAAUGGGAAUGGACUUUUCAGAUCCAGUUUUAUUUCGUUUAGUAUCUACUAUGUCAAUUGUUUUAGUAAUUAUUGUUUUCUAGUUGUGAUUAAGUAUUAGCAUUAGCAUUCUAUUCUUUAGUAAGUUUCAAAGUUCAAAUGUUCAGAGUUAAGUUUGUAUAGGUUCUAGUUGUAAUUUUGGGACUGUAUUAAACUAUGGUUUGUGAGGUUACCAUAUGAGUUUAGGUGACUGAACAUUUUUAGCUUGCUUGCUAUUAAUUCUGUAAAUACUCAUAUAUAGAUGUUAGAAUUAGACAA